This 74-nucleotide transfer RNA is filed under the name Bacteroidetes bacterium MED-G17. RNAcentral describes it as "tRNA-Arg". It matches the Rfam family "tRNA". Rfam says of the family: Transfer RNA (tRNA) molecules are approximately 80 nucleotides in length. Their secondary structure includes four short double-helical elements and three loops (D, anti-codon, and T loops). Lineage: Bacteria; Pseudomonadati; Bacteroidota. The record is from RNAcentral.
GGCUCCUUAGCUCAACUGGAUAGAGCAACUGCCUUCUAAGCAGUAGGUUUCAGGUUCGAGUCCUGAAGGAGUCA